UUCAGAAUUUUAAAAUAUCUAAAAGUAUUUUAAAACCAAUUAAAACAAAGGAGGAAAGAGAAAAUUCAAGAAAAAUAAAAAAUCAAGGAAAUAAAAUGUUGAAAAACAAAAGUCAGAUAAAGAAAAAUAAAAGAGAAUUUUAGAAAUUAUUUUGGUAUUUUUUGGAUGUAAAAUGAAUUUUCAACGAAUUUUAAAAGAAAAUAAAAUUUAG
RNAcentral lists this long non-coding RNA (211 nucleotides) under Lathyrus oleraceus (garden pea). RNAcentral's name for it is "Pisum sativum (pea) long non-coding RNA (PSAT_LNC020004)". Lineage: Eukaryota; Viridiplantae; Streptophyta; Magnoliopsida; Fabales; Fabaceae. The record is from RNAcentral.